AGAGUUUGAUCCUGGCUCAGGAUGAACGCUAGCGGCAGGCUUAAUACAUGCAAGUCGUACGGGAUCCGAGAUAGCAAUAUCUUGGUGAGAGUGGCGCACGGGUGCGUAACACGUAUGCAACCUACCUUUAACCGGGACACAACCUCGAGAAAUUGUGGCUAAUAUCCCAUAACACUGCGAAGUGGCAUCACUUUGCAGUUAAAACUCCGGUGGUUAUAGAUGGGCAUGCGCGACAUUAGCUAGUUGGUGAGGUAACGGCCCACCAAGGCUACGAUGUCUAGGGGUUCUGAGAGGAUUAUCCCCCACACUGGUACUGAGACACGGACCAGACUCCUACGGGAGGCAGCAGUGGGGAAUAUUGCGCAAUGGACGAAAGUCUGACGCAGCGACGCCGCGUGUGGGAUGAAGCCUUUCGGGGCGUAAACCACUGUUGCCCGGGACGAACAUCCUCUUUCGAGGGGACUGACGGUACCGGGUGAGGAAGCACCGGCUAACUCUGUGCCAGCAGCCGCGGUAAUACAGAGGGUGCGAGCGUUGUCCGGAAUCACUGGGCGUAAAGGGUGAGUAGGUGGCUGGGUAAGCGUGUGGUGAAAGUCCGGGGCUCAACCCCGGAUCUGCCGUGCGAACUGCCGAGCUCGAGCAAUGUAGAGGCAGGUGGAAUUUCGGGUGUAGCGGUGGAAUGCGUAGAUAUCCGAAAGAACACCAGUGGCGAAGGCGGCCUGCUGGGCAUUUGCUGACACUGAAUCACGACAGCGUGGGGAGCAAACAGGAUUAGAUACCCUGGUAGUCC
This 790-nucleotide ribosomal RNA is filed under the name uncultured bacterium. Its description in RNAcentral is "bacterial SSU rRNA". It matches the Rfam family "Bacterial small subunit ribosomal RNA", at positions 8 to 796 of the family's 1533-position model. The record is from RNAcentral.